CACCUCUAGCAUUGCCAGUAUUAGAGGCACUGCCUGCCCAGUGACAUUAGUUAAACGGCCGCGGUAUCCUGACCGUGCAAAGGUAGCAUAAUCAUUUGUUCCUUAAUUAGGGACUUGUAUGAACGGCCCCACGAGGGUUUAACUGUCUCUUACUUUUAAUCAGUGAAAUUGACCUUCCCGUGAAGAGGCGGGAAUACAAAAAUAAGACGAGAAGACCCUAUGGAGCUUAAAUUAAUAUGUUCAACAGAAUUUAAUUAUAAUCCAAUAGGAAUAAAAAUAUUCUAACUGAACAAUAAAUUUUGGUUGGGGUGACCUCGGAGUAUAACAUAACCUCCGAGCAAUUAAACCAAGACUUACCAGUCAAGGCCAUAUAACUUAUUGAUCCAAUCUUAUUGAUCAACGAAACAAGUUACCCUAGGGAUAACAGCGCAAUCCUAUUUAAGAGUUCAUAUCGACAAUAGGGUUUACGACCUCGAUGUUGGAUCAGGACACCCAAAUGGUGCAGCAGCUAUUAAAGGUUCGUUUGUUCAACG
This 533-nucleotide ribosomal RNA is filed under the name Crocidura goliath. RNAcentral describes it as "partial 16S ribosomal RNA". It matches the Rfam family "Bacterial large subunit ribosomal RNA", at positions 1816 to 2586 of the family's 2925-position model. Lineage: Eukaryota; Metazoa; Chordata; Mammalia; Eulipotyphla; Soricidae. The record is from RNAcentral.